GUUUUCAUAGAUUUGUAUCACACAUCUGUGAAAAAAUUAGUUUUAUUUACCGAAGAGCCUCUUGUUAGACAACAUUGGAAGUACGUCCACCUGGGGCAUGGAUAAAUAGGCUGCGAGAAGAUCUGACUUUUGAGCAGGCUACA
Limulus polyphemus (Atlantic horseshoe crab) is the source of this 143-nucleotide long non-coding RNA. RefSeq lists it as uncharacterized. Lineage: Eukaryota; Metazoa; Arthropoda; Merostomata; Xiphosura; Limulidae. The record is from RefSeq and is a predicted model, not a curated record. The transcript is spliced from 3 exons.